This 429-nucleotide ribosomal RNA is filed under the name Gemmatimonadota bacterium. Its description in RNAcentral is "Gemmatimonadetes bacterium partial 16S ribosomal RNA". It matches the Rfam family "Bacterial small subunit ribosomal RNA", at positions 355 to 776 of the family's 1533-position model. Lineage: Bacteria; Pseudomonadati; Gemmatimonadota. The record is from RNAcentral.
UAGGGAAUCUUCGGCAAUGGACGAAAGUCUGACCGAGCAACGCCGCGUGAGUGAAGAAGGUUUUCGGAUCGUAAAACUCUGUUGUUAGAGAAGAACAAGGACGUUAGUAACUGAACGUCCCCUGACGGUAUCUAACCAGAAAGCCACGGCUAACUACGUGCCAGCAGCCGCGGUAAUACGUAGGUGGCAAGCGUUGUCCGGAUUUAUUGGGCGUAAAGCGAGCGCAGGCGGUUUCUUAAGUCUGAUGUGAAAGCCCCCGGCUCAACCGGGGAGGGUCAUUGGAAACUGGGAGACUUGAGUGCAGAAGAGGAGAGUGGAAUUCCAUGUGUAGCGGUGAAAUGCGUAGAUAUAUGGAGGAACACCAGUGGCGAAGGCGGCUCUCUGGUCUGUAACUGACGCUGAGGCUCGAAAGCGUGGGGAGCUAACAGG